UAUAUAUAUAAUACAUAUAAUAACUUUAUACAAUAUAUAUUCCUUCAAAUGAAAAAUACCUAUAAUCACCGCCCCCCCCCCAACCCAUCACACUGUCUUUACGCACAAUUAUGCACACGAUUUGAAGGUGAUACACUGGCUUCUGGUUCUUGCUUUGCUAUAAUCCAGAUAUAGAUGAUUCUGAGCUAAACUCUUCUUUGGGCUCUGUUUUGUUAACUAUAAAAUGAAGGCAUUUACUGGGUGAUCUCUAAGGUCCUCUUCAACCUGCCAAGUCCAUAUGUGCAUCUGCCUUUUAUAAACAAAAUCAGUAUGUAGUGGUAUCAACCGAGAUUGCUUUUAAAUGAAUACUCUGUUAACAUGAAUAAUGAUGGUUAUACGUUUUUCCAUCUCUAAACUGGGAUGACGAACUCUGCAGAAAAAAUCACACAGGGAGAUGAAGCUCUUAGAUGACAGGUGUGAAAACACUUUUCAAACUGUAAACAUCUAUUCAAAUGCCACGUGAUGUGAAUUCUCACAGUGAAAAAGGCUUCCCUCCACUUUGCUGAGAGCUCACUUCACUGCAUCUUAGCGCUUGCCUUUUGCCUUGUUGGGAUCUAUUUUAUCUGCCUCUGCUAGAAUGACUUGCUUGGAGGCUCCAGGAGGAAUUCAGGUAGCUGUUGCCUGACUGAACGAGGAAAGGAAUGAAUGAAGAGUUGGAUCACUGUUAGUUCUUACUCUGACACUGGCUAGAAGACUGAGAAUCUGAGGACAGACUAUUUCUGCCUGACCCACCAUGGCUGGUACAGCCUCAGUCGCAUCUUCAUUCAUCAUGUGCUUGCUCUGGGCUAAGCUCUGGCCGAGGUGCUUAGGCUCGAAAAAUGCCUCAAAUUCCCGCCCCCAAAUGCAGGUAUUUGGAAAAACACAAAGGAUUGGCCACGGAUGAUGUCAUACCUUGAAGAAAUCAAAAAAUGAAAUGUGUUUCACAAUGGGACCAUACAGGCUCUCAUCAUGUUUAAAGAAGAAAAAGUUGGUGAAAGCAGCAUCUAUGAGUUCCGGGUGUUUUCUGCUGAGUUUAACCAACUCAAGUCUCUCUUUUCGGCUGUCUCGCCCUCUCCAGACAGCUGUGGAGUUUUUGCUUUCCCAGGGAGGACCUGUGUUGGCUUGCACAGACAUCAUAUCCAGACUGACUCUGGAAGACAGAGAGUGCAACAGAUUUUUCUCCCAAACCAUCACACUGCAAGGGUUGUUGGGAAAGAACUCACCAAGGAAAGAAAACCAAGGCUCUGGGUCGUCUGGGACCCGUCUCUCACCGGCCCAUGGUUUCGAGGACAGAGUCAGUCAGGUCGUAAGUAGGCAUCACGAUAUCCUUGGAAUCUGUGGAGCCACACCAGGAAAAGAUCGGAUGGAUGUUUGAAUCGGAUUUCUUUUUUUCCAAAGGCCAGUCUCCCAAAUUAACAAAAAACUCCACAUCGGGCAUCUUCACCUACGAAAAGAAAGCCAAGAUGGUUAAAAUGAUGGUACAGUUUUUCAUAUCAGCCAUUUCACUAUCAUUGUCAAAACUCCACUAAAACCCUGCUAAAGCACACUACACCCAGGGACAGGAUUCAGCAUAUGGCAAGCCUCCUUUAGGCUCAAAGUAGGUUUAGUACCAAAAUGAUUUUACUGUAAAGUAUCUUCUUUUCUUAAAAAUAUUUACUUAUUUAUUUAUUAUUUUGGCUGCACUGGGUCUUAGUUGCGGCACGCGGGAUCUUCAUUGCGGCACGUGGGAUCGUCAUUGUGGUAUGAGGAAUCUUUUAGCUGUGGCAUGCAUGCAGGAUCUAGUUCCCCAACCAGGGAUCGAACCCAGGUCGCCUGCACUGGGAGCGCGGAGUCUUACCCACUGGACCACCAGGGAAGUCCCAGGUAUUUUCAUCUAUAAUAUACUGUUUGGGGUUGAGUGUAUCCCCCCAAAAGAUAUGCUGAAGUCCUAAACCCCAGUAUCUCAGAAUGACCUUAUUUGGAAAUAGGGCUGCUGCAGAUGUAUUUAGUUAAGAUGAGAUCCUACUGGAGUAGGGUGGACCCUUAAUCCAAUAUGACUGGUGUCCUUGUGAGAAGAGAUGAAGAUGUCAAAACACACAAGGAUUAACACCAUGUGACAACAGAGCGGAGUGAUGCAGCUGCAAACCAGGAACACCAAGGAUUGCCAGGCACCCCCAGAAACUAGGAAGAGCCAAGAAAGGAUCCCCCCUAUAGGUUUUAGAGGAAGCACUGCCUUGCUGACACCUUGAUUUCGGACUUCUAGCCUCCAGAAUUGUGAGAGAACAAAUUGCUGUUGUUUUUAAGCCACCCAGUUUACAGUACUUUGUUACAGCAUCCCUAGGAGACUAAUACAGGUACACUACCUGACAUAAAACUUCAGAAUAGUAUAUAGUACUUAAGGGUCCAGAAUAGAACAACCCUGGUAUUGUUAUUAUUUUUACUUUGAAAAAUUAUAGUGUAAAAUUGGGCUCAAAUUGUCUAUUAUACAUCUGAGAAAAGAAAUACUUACUUUUCUAGUCAAAGAAAGUAGUAUGGCAUCCAUGAAAAUUCUAAAACCUACAUGUUCACCGUGAGUCUUGAUAUAAACCUAGAAGAGAAUUGAAUGUUUAUUCUGUUAGUCUAAAAGUACCCGCUGACUUCACUGAGAUCAAUCUUAUCACAAUGAUCUGCAGAAUGAUUUUUAAUAAAACUAUGUAGCUAGUUGUAGCCAAAUGGUCAAAAUCAAAAAUCACUAAGGCAAGCAAACCUCAGUCAUGAAUUGUACCUUGUUAUCCUUCAAGGUAUAAUGACACAAGCUCUGUCUUUGUCCAAAUCUUUUCGGGAUUUCUGUUGCAAUCUUUUCUGGAUCAAUGGUAGGGAAAUGUGCCAGAUCUCUCUGAAUUUGAGUAAUGGUUUCUGGGCAGUUCAUCUCGCGUAGCCAGGCUGCACUGUCUUCCAAAGGACAGUCACAAUUCUCAUGGUAAACUGGCCCUAAUUACACACAAGGAACAAAGUAUACAGUAAUAAUUUCACUCAGCAUUUGAAACAUGUAACAAAUAUUUGUAAUGUGACUUCACAAGUUUUGCCCAGUUAGAUAGGGAAGGCAAUUUGAUGGAAAACAUAUUUUAAAAAGAAAAACAUUUUUAUUACUCUGGUGUAUCUCAAGUUAAGUCUGUUCUGACCACUCUUCACAGAUAGGUGUUACGAUAUUUUCACAGUCAGGCCCACUUGGCACGAGUUCAAAAGAAAGCCAACGGUGCUACUUUUUGCUCUAAGUGGCUACCAUAGUCCAUUACUCUUUUUUUUUUUUUUUUCUUUUUUGGCGGUGUGGCCUGUAGGAUCUUAGUUCCCUGACCAGGGAUCGAACCCAUGCCUCCUGCAGAGUCUUAACCAUUGGACCACCACUUCCAAUGGACCAUUGGAAGUUCCCAUAGUCCAUUACUCUUUUUUUUUUUAAAUUAAUUUUUAUUGGAGUAUCAUUGCUUUACA
This is a long non-coding RNA of Balaenoptera ricei (Rice's whale), 3465 nucleotides long. RefSeq lists it as uncharacterized. The record is from RefSeq and is a predicted model, not a curated record. The transcript is spliced from 3 exons. NCBI's taxonomy places the organism in Eukaryota, Metazoa, Chordata, Mammalia, Artiodactyla, Balaenopteridae.